This 717-nucleotide ribosomal RNA is filed under the name Pseudogymnoascus sp. RNAcentral describes it as "partial large subunit ribosomal RNA". It matches the Rfam family "Eukaryotic large subunit ribosomal RNA", at positions 87 to 825 of the family's 3401-position model. The record is from RNAcentral. Lineage: Eukaryota; Fungi; Ascomycota; Leotiomycetes; Thelebolales; Thelebolaceae.
CGGCGAGUGAAGCGGUAACAGCUCAAAUUUGAAAUCUGGCCUCACGGUCCGAGUUGUAAUUUGUAGAGGAUGCUUCGAGCAUGGUCUGGCCUAAGUUCCUUGGAACAGGACGUCAUAGAGGGUGAGAAUCCCGUAUGCGGCCAGGUGCCUACGCUCAUGUGAAGCUCCUUCGACGAGUCGAGUUGUUUGGGAAUGCAGCUCAAAAUGGGUGGUAAAUUUCAUCUAAAGCUAAAUAUUGGCCAGAGACCGAUAGCGCACAAGUAGAGUGAUCGAAAGAUGAAAAGCACUUUGGAAAGAGAGUUAAACAGUACGUGAAAUUGUUGAAAGGGAAGCGCUUGCAACCAGACUUGCGCGCGGCCGAUCAUCCGGUGUUCUCACCGGUGCACUCGGCCGUGCUCAGGCCAGCAUCGGUUUUGGCGGCUGGAUAAAGGCCCUAGGAAUGUGGCUCCUCUCGGGGAGUGUUAUAGCCUAGGGUGCAAUGCAGCCUGCUGGGACCGAGGACCGCGCUUCGGCUAGGAUGCUGGCGUAAUGGUUGUAAGCGGCCCGUCUUGAAACACGGACCAAGGAGUCUAACAUCUAUGCGAGUGUUUGGGUGUCAAACCCAUACGCGUAAUGAAAGUGAACGGAGGUGAGAACCCUUAAGGGUGCAUCAUCGACCGAUCCUGAUGUCUUCGGAAGGAUUUGAGUAAGAGCAUAGCUGUUGGGACCCGAAAGAUG